This 695-nucleotide long non-coding RNA is filed under the name Salmo trutta (river trout). Its description in RNAcentral is "lncRNA (ENSSTUG00000014816.1)". Lineage: Eukaryota; Metazoa; Chordata; Actinopteri; Salmoniformes; Salmonidae. The record is from RNAcentral.
CCACAAGGGACAAUCCGUCAUCUCCAGAGUUUUUCAUAUCAACGACAUACAAAUGUGUUGGCGGAUUACAGGUGUAUGUUCAGUACAACCACAAUCAAACGACACCCCCAGUUGCGAGCCCGCUUUGAGAAGAUUCUGUAGGAGCUGACCCACUUCACUCCUCGCUACAAGGAGAUAGUCUAUCUUUGACCACAGGAGUAGAGUUAAAGGAUCAGCAAUAAUCCGCAAUGGAUGUUGUCAACAGUGAGAGGUAGGCUACACCUGCAGUCAGACUUUUGCUAGGAGGGUGUGUGUGGAUGUGGGUGGUCCUUCUUUAUCUCAUCUCUCACUGAUCAUUUCUGCCCUAAUCUCUCAUUCCCUCUCUCUCAUUCUCUUUCCAAGAGUGAAGUCUGUGUAUUAUCCAAAGCACUCUCAUGCCCAUCAUUGAGCAGGACAGAAUGCGCUUGUGGAAGAACACCCACAGAACGGGCAUGCUUACUGACUGGCCUCAGUUCCAGUCUAAGGGCUGGGAUGCAAGUGAGAUGUUUAACUAGUAGACAUACAGAAUCAAUUCCACCUAUGGCUUCCUCUCCGUGUACAUAGACACCUGCCUCAGAUGAAGGAGACUGAGGGCAACCCCCCAAUAACAUCAUCUUGUCUCACUGAAAAACAAUGGAGGCAAGACUGAGGAGUACAAGUGCAACACCAUGGUCCAA